AAUAGAUACCCGGGUAGUCCACGCCGUAAACGAUGAGUGCUAAGUGUUAGGGGGUUUCCGCCCCUUAGUGCUGCAGCUAACGCAUUAAGCACUCCGCCUGGGGAGUACGGUCGCAAGACUGAAACUCAAAGGAAUUGACGGGGGCCCGCACAAGCGGUGGAGCAUGUGGUUUAAUUCGAAGCAACGCGAAGAACCUUACCAGGUCUUGACAUCCCAUUGACCGCUAUGGAGACAUGGCUUUCCCUUCGGGGACAGUGGUGACAGGUGGUGCAUGGUUGUCGUCAGCUCGUGUCGUGAGAUGUUGGGUUAAGUCCCGCAACGAGCGCAACCCUUGUUCUUAGUUGCCAUCAUUUAGUUGGGCACUCUAAGGAGACUGCCGGUGGCAAACCGGAGGAAGGUGGGGAUGACGUCAAAUCAUCAUGCCCCUUAUGACCUGGGCUACACACGUGCUACAAUGGACGGUACAAACGGUUGCCAACCCGCGAGGGGAGCUAAUCCGAUAAAACCGUUCUCAGUUCGGAUUGUAGGCUGCAACUCGCCUAC
This 543-nucleotide ribosomal RNA is filed under the name uncultured bacterium. Its description in RNAcentral is "bacterial SSU rRNA". It matches the Rfam family "Bacterial small subunit ribosomal RNA", at positions 777 to 1319 of the family's 1533-position model. The record is from RNAcentral.